UGAGCAACCUGCCUUUCANAGGGGGAUAACAGUUGGAAACGACUGCUAAUACCGCAUAACGCUGCGAUGGGGCAUCCCGAUGCAGCCAAAGGAGCAAUCCGCUGGAAGAUGGGCUCGCGGCCGAUUAGCUAGUUGGUGGGGCAACGGCCCACCAAGGCGACGAUCGGUAGCCGGACUGAGAGGUUGAUCGGCCACAUUGGGACUGAGACACGGCCCAGACUCCUACGGAAGGCAGCAG
Molecule: ribosomal RNA, 238 nt
Filed under: uncultured bacterium
Lineage: Bacteria
Description: partial 16S ribosomal RNA
Rfam family: Bacterial small subunit ribosomal RNA
Source: RNAcentral